GUCCAGGGUAGCCUAGUGGACAUGGCACCUGCCCGGUAAGCAGAAGGUUGUGGGUUCGAUUCCCGCCCUGGACA
This 74-nucleotide transfer RNA is filed under the name Cordylochernes scorpioides. RNAcentral describes it as "tRNA-Thr". It matches the Rfam family "tRNA". From Rfam's summary of the family: Transfer RNA (tRNA) molecules are approximately 80 nucleotides in length. Their secondary structure includes four short double-helical elements and three loops (D, anti-codon, and T loops). Lineage: Eukaryota; Metazoa; Arthropoda; Arachnida; Pseudoscorpiones; Chernetidae. The record is from RNAcentral.